AGAGUUUGAUCAUGGCUCAGGACGAACGCUGGCGGCGUGCUUUAUACAUGCAAGUCAAGGAGAACGUUUUCUUCGGAAAACUAUUAAACUGGCGAACGGGUGAGUAACGCGUAGGCAACCUGCCCUAGAGAUUGGGAUAACAUCGGGAAACCGGUGCUAAUACCGAAUAAUGCAGCGGAUCCUUCGGGAUACAGUUGUUAAAGCGGGCUUCGGCUCGCACUUUAGGAUGGGCCUGCGUCCGAUUAGCUUGUUGGUAAGGUAACGGCUUACCAAGGCAAUGAUCGGUAGCUGGUCUGAGAGGAUGAUCAGCCACACUGGGAUUGAGAUACGGCCCAGACUCCUACGGGAGGCAGCAGUAGGGAAUUUUGCGCAAUGGGGGAAACCCUGACGCAGCAACGCCGCGUGACCGAUGAAGCUUCUAGGAGCGUAAAGGUCUGUCGUAAGGGAAGAAAAGUUUGGAUGUAAAUAAUGUUCAAACCUGACGGUACCUUACAAGAAAGCACCGGCUAACUUCGUGCCAGCAGCCGCGGUAAUACGAGGGGUGCAAGCGUUGUCCGGAAUCACUGGGCGUAAAGGGUCCGUAGGCGUCUCAAAAAGUCAUUUGUUAAAUACACCGGCUUAACCGGUGACCUGCAUUUGAAACUAUUGAGAUAGAGUAUAGGAGAGGAAAGUGGAAUUCCUGGUGUAGCGGUGACAUGCGUAGAUAUCAGAGGAACACCAAUGGCGAAGCAGCUUUCUGGCCUAUUACUGACGCUGAGGGACGAAAGCGUGGGGAGCGAACAGGAUUAGAUACCCUGGUAGUCCACGCCGUAACGAUGAGUACUUGGUGUCGGGGAUUC
Molecule: ribosomal RNA, 839 nt
Filed under: uncultured bacterium
Lineage: Bacteria
Description: bacterial SSU rRNA
Rfam family: Bacterial small subunit ribosomal RNA
Source: RNAcentral